RNAcentral lists this small RNA (65 nucleotides) under Cytobacillus oceanisediminis. RNAcentral's name for it is "Bacillaceae-1 RNA". It matches the Rfam family "Bacillaceae-1 RNA". The record is from RNAcentral. Lineage: Bacteria; Bacillati; Bacillota; Bacilli; Caryophanales; Bacillaceae.
CUUUAAAGAACUCAGACUAAAAGCGCCACGUCCUGGCAGCGUCUGAGUGACUCACAUCCUGCAAG